GACGAGCGCUGGCGGCGUGCUUAACACAUGCAAGUCGAACGGAAAGGCCCUGCUUUUGUGGGGUGCUCGAGUGGCGAACGGGUGAGUAACACGUGAGUAACCUGCCCUUGACUUUGGGAUAACUUCAGGAAACUGGGGCUAAUACCGGAUAGGAGCUCCUGCUGCAUGGUGGGGGUUGGAAAGUUUCGGCGGUUGGGGAUGGACUCGCGGCUUAUCAGCUUGUUGGUGGGGUAGUGGCUUACCGAGGCUUUGACGGGUAGCCGGCCUGAGAGGGUGACCGGCCACAUUGGGACUGAGAUACGGCCCAGACUCCUACGGGAGGCAGCAGUGGGGAAUAUUGCACAAUGGGCGGAAGCCUGAUGCAGCAACGCCGCGUGCGGGAUGACGGCCUUCGGGUUGUAAACCGCUUUCGCCUGUGACGAAGCGUGAGUGACGGUAAUGGGUAAAGAAGCACCGGCUAACUACGUG
RNAcentral lists this ribosomal RNA (468 nucleotides) under uncultured bacterium. RNAcentral's name for it is "partial 16S ribosomal RNA". It matches the Rfam family "Bacterial small subunit ribosomal RNA", at positions 28 to 507 of the family's 1533-position model. The record is from RNAcentral.